This 581-nucleotide ribosomal RNA is filed under the name uncultured bacterium. Its description in RNAcentral is "partial 16S ribosomal RNA". It matches the Rfam family "Bacterial small subunit ribosomal RNA", at positions 355 to 925 of the family's 1533-position model. The record is from RNAcentral.
UGGGGAAUUUUGGACAAUGGGGGAAACCCGUGAUCCAGCCAUCCCGCGUGUGCGAUGAAGGCCUUCGGGUUGUAAAGCACUUUUGGCAGGAAAGAAACGUCGCGGGUUAAUACCCCGCGAAACUGACGGUACCUGCAGAAUAAGCACCGGCUAACUACGUGCCAGCAGCCGCGGUAAUACGUAGGGUGCAAGCGUUAAUCGGAAUUACUGGGCGUAAAGCGUGCGCAGGCGGUUCGGAAAGAAAGAUGUGAAAUCCCAGAGCUUAACUUUGGAACUGCAUUUUUAACUACCGGGCUAGAGUGUGUCAGAGGGAGGUGGAAUUCCGCGUGUAGCAGUGAAAUGCGUAGAUAUGCGGAGGAACACCGAUGGCGAAGGCAGCCUCCUGGGAUAACACUGACGCUCAUGCACGAAAGCGUGGGGAGCAAACAGGAUUAGAUACCCUGGUAGUCCACGCCCUAAACGAUGUCAACUCAGCUGUUGGGGGCCUUUCGGCCUUGGUANGCGCAGCUAACGNGUGAAGUUGACCGCCUGGGGAGUACGGUCGCAAGAUUAAAACUCAAAUGAAUUGACGGGGGUCGAUA